Wallemia mellicola CBS 633.66 is the source of this 81-nucleotide non-coding RNA. Lineage: Eukaryota; Fungi; Basidiomycota; Wallemiomycetes; Wallemiales; Wallemiaceae. The record is from the annotation of a RefSeq genome assembly.
GGCGAAGUAGUACAAUGGUCGAGUACGUAUUGUUCGGGUAGCAUUUUCAAUAUAAUCUGGGUUCAAUUCCCAGCUUCGCCC